AAUAGAUACCCGGGUAGUCCACCCCGUAAACGUUGGGAACUAGUUGUGGGGUCCUUUCCACGGAUUCCGUGACGCAGCUAACGCAUUAAGUUCCCCGCCUGGGGAGUACGGCCGCAAGGCUAAAACUCAAAGGAAUUGACGGGGACCCGCACAAGCGGCGGAGCAUGCGGAUUAAUUCGAUGCAACGCGAAGAACCUUACCAAGGCUUGACAUACACCAGAACACCCUGGAAACAGGGGACUCUUUGGACACUGGUGAACAGGUGGUGCAUGGUUGUCGUCAGCUCGUGUCGUGAGAUGUUGGGUUAAGUCCCGCAACGAGCGCAACCCUCGUUCUAUGUUGCCAGCACGUAAUGGUGGGAACUCAUGGGAUACUGCCGGGGUUCAACUCGGAGGAAGGUGGGGAUGACGUCAAAUCAUCAUGCCCCUUAUGUCUUGGGCUUCACGCAUGCUACAAUGGCCGGUACAAUGGGCUGCGAUACCGUAAGGUGGAGCGAAUCCCAAAAGCCGGUCCCAGUUCGGAUUGAGGUCUGCAACUCGACCUCA
This 545-nucleotide ribosomal RNA is filed under the name uncultured bacterium. Its description in RNAcentral is "bacterial SSU rRNA". It matches the Rfam family "Bacterial small subunit ribosomal RNA", at positions 777 to 1320 of the family's 1533-position model. The record is from RNAcentral.